This 107-nucleotide small nucleolar RNA is filed under the name Ricinus communis (castor bean). RNAcentral's name for it is "Plant small nucleolar RNA R71". It matches the Rfam family "Plant small nucleolar RNA R71". Rfam says of the family: R71 is a member of the C/D box family of snoRNAs containing the C (UGAUGA) and D (CUGA) box motifs. Multiple nearly identical copies of this snoRNA have been identified in Arabidopsis, and it is thought to function as a 2'-O-ribose methylation guide for 18S ribosomal RNA. Lineage: Eukaryota; Viridiplantae; Streptophyta; Magnoliopsida; Malpighiales; Euphorbiaceae. The record is from Rfam by way of RNAcentral.
AAACUAUAGUGUGGAUAGCUCCUUAGUAAAUCCUUAAAAUGUUCCCAACAAUCAUAUAGAGUCUCAUUCUCUUGUUGAAGAAAUCUUGCUAUAUCAUUCCUCAACUU